Molecule: ribosomal RNA, 253 nt
Filed under: uncultured bacterium
Lineage: Bacteria
Description: partial 16S ribosomal RNA
Rfam family: Bacterial small subunit ribosomal RNA
Source: RNAcentral
UACGGGGGGUUCAAACGUUGCUCGGAAUUAUUGGGCGUAAAGCGCACGUAGGCGGUCCCUUAAGUCGGGUGUGAAAGCCCUCGGCUUAACCGAGGAAGUGCAUUCGAAACUGGGGGACUUGAGUACUGGAGAGGAUGGCGGAAUUCCCGGUGUAGAGGUGAAAUUCGUAGAUAUCGGGAGGAACACCAGCGGCGAAGGCGGCCAUCUGGACAGAUACUGACGCUGAGGUGCGAAAGCGUGGGGAGCAAACAGG